AAAAACAUGUCCUUUAGAAUUUAAUUUAAGGUCUAACCUGCCCACUGAAUUAAAUGGCCGCAGUAUUUUAACUGUGCAAAGGUAGCAUAAUCAUUAGUCUUUUAAUUGAAGGCUCGUAUGAAUGGUUGGACGAAAUAUUAACUGUUUCAUAAAAAUUGAAUUAGAAUUUUAUUUUUUAGUUAAAAAGCUAAAAUGAUUUUAAAAGACGAGAAGACCCUAUAGAUCUUUAUAAUUUAUAUAUUAUAAUUAUUUAGAUUAUUUAAGUUAUGAUUUUAUAAAUUAUUUUGUUGGGGUGACAUUAAAAUUUAAUUAACUUUUAAUUAAUUUUUACAUUGAUGUAUGAUUAGUUGAUCCAUUAGUAAUGAUUAAAAAAUUAAGUUACCUUAGGGAUAACAGCGUAAUUUUUUUGAAGAGUUCAUAUCGAUAAAAAAGAUUGCGACCUCGAUGUUGGAUUAAGAUAUAAUUUUGGGUGCAGCAAUUCAAUUAUUAAGUCUGUUCGACUUUUAAUUUCUUACAUGA
Molecule: ribosomal RNA, 519 nt
Filed under: Anabarhynchus montanus
Lineage: Eukaryota; Metazoa; Arthropoda; Insecta; Diptera; Therevidae
Description: partial 16S ribosomal RNA
Rfam family: Bacterial large subunit ribosomal RNA
Source: RNAcentral